GACGAACGCUGGCGGCGUGCCUAAUACAUGCAAGUAGAACGCUGAAGGAGGAGCUUGCUUCUCUGGAUGAGUUGCGAACGGGUGAGUAACGCGUAGGUAACCUGCCUGGUAGCGGGGGAUAACUAUUGGAAACGAUAGCUAAUACCGCAUAAUAGUAGAUGUUGCAUGACAUUUGCUUAAAAGGUGCAAUUGCAUCACUACCAGAUGGACCUGCGUUGUAUUAGCUAGUUGGUGGGGUAACGGCUCACCAAGGCGACGAUACAUAGCCGACCUGAGAGGGGGAUCGGCCACACUGGGACUGAGACACGGCCCAGACUCCUACGGGAGGCAGCAGUAGGGAAUCUUCGGCAAUGGACGGAAGUCUGACCGAGCAACGCCGCGUGAGUGAAGAAGGUUUUCGGAUCGUAAAGCUCUGUUGUAAGAGAAGAACGAGUGUGAGAGUGGAAAGUUCACACUGUGACGGUAUCUUACCAGAAGGGGACGGCUAACUACGUG
Molecule: ribosomal RNA, 495 nt
Filed under: uncultured bacterium
Lineage: Bacteria
Description: partial 16S ribosomal RNA
Rfam family: Bacterial small subunit ribosomal RNA
Source: RNAcentral